GUGAAACUGUGGUUCAGAACAAGCCCUUUGGAUGGCAAGAAAAUUGCUGAGUAGCUGGUUUCCAGGUUGCCGAGGUCCUAGCCAGGGCCUGGCGCGGCUGCCAGAAGCAACAGGCUUGGAAUUUCCUCUGCCUGGUGCCAGCUCUGCUCGGGCUGCCGCAGCACCUCUGUGGGGCCGGGGCUCCUCGCGGGCCCUGCGGACGGGGUUACGCUCGGAGCUGAGCGCUGCCCCCUCGUCCUCGGUGCCUGGUUUCUAUUUUCUUUUCCAGGGUCCAAGCUGUUUUGAAUUAUGCAGCCUGCGCCUCCCGCGGGGCUCCUUGAGCAGCCGCCUAAUGAGCUGAGCUCCUGACAAACUUUGCUCUGGCUCUGGCUAUGCUUGGAAAAUUUUACAGCCUUUUCAGAAAAAGGAAAUGCCAGGAAAGGCCUGUCUCUUCUUAUUUUUAUGAGGGGGUCCCGGUUGAGAGAGGACCGAGAUGGGCUUGGAAGAGAAGACAGGAAUGGUUUUGAAUACUGUGCUGGGCGCUCCCCCUCCCCGCCACACGCUUUCUAGUGAUGGGUGUGAGGCUGGUGUGGUCCUUCCUUCCCCAGCACGGCUGUGCACAGCGUGGGGUGAGACCUGCAGGCUGCACUGUGAGCACAGGGAGGUGGCAAAGAGGUGGCAAGCGUGAAUGGUGAUGGAUGGAGGCCAACUCUCCUCGCCCCACUGCUGGCUGCCUGCUCCCAGCGCUGUUCCCAUCCCCAGGCUCGACAGCAGAACCUGGCACCGAGUGCCAAUUUCUGCUCUUCCGGCUCUGGUUAAAGGAUUCUGCUGGUGGAAAGCGUGUGGGGACCAGAUCUGAGGCACUGUCACCUGGGAGGGCCAAGGCAUCCGAGCUGGCAUGCCAGCAUCUAUCAGUGCCCCAUCUGCAAGGAAGUGCUGGGCUGCAUCUUUCCUCCCAGCUGCUGGCGCAGUUACCGGCCGUUUAAUAUUUGCUAAUUGUAUUUUUCUGAAUGUCACUGUCUGUUUCUGCUGUGGGAGCAGGCAGAGGCUCCUCCUGCACAGGGAUGUGCUGCACGUCAGUGCACGAGGCCGUGCAGGAAGGGCAGCAGCACGGUGACGUCUGAGCAGGACCCAGAGGAACAGGGAAGCGGGAGUGAAGGUGCUGCUAGCUCCUGUAAUCUGCAAGGGAUGGCCCUGCUGAAUUCACCCCCUUUUGGCUGAGGAACUGCAUUACAGUGAGAGAAACUGGGGCACAACACAAGCUGUGACUUUGCCCACCCCCAUCAUAACCCUCUUCUUACGAUCAGCAGAACCCUGUGGCCAAAGCAUAGGGCCAGUGUGAAUCCCGUGGUCUGGAAUCUUGGCCAAGGCGUUCUGUGUGCUUCUGUGUUGGUGAGGCAGGGGCUCGCCCUCCUCUCAGCCACGGGGCUCACGGGCAGAAGUGGAGAUUGUAUGUGACAAUAGAGGCCAAGCUCCUUUGCUUUGCUGCUCAGAGAGAUGCUGAAGAGCUCCGGUCCCAGGAUGGACCCCUGGGGGACACCCCUCAUCACCGGCCUCCACCUGGACAUGGAGCCAUUGACAACAGCCCUCUGGCUGCGACCAUCCAACCAAUUCCUUAUCCA
Molecule: long non-coding RNA, 1601 nt
Organism: Gallus gallus (chicken)
Lineage: Eukaryota; Metazoa; Chordata; Aves; Galliformes; Phasianidae
Exons: 3
Source: RefSeq, a predicted model, not a curated record